Molecule: ribosomal RNA, 279 nt
Filed under: uncultured bacterium
Lineage: Bacteria
Description: partial 16S ribosomal RNA
Rfam family: Bacterial small subunit ribosomal RNA
Source: RNAcentral
UGCCAGCAGCCGCGGUAAUACGGAGGGGGUUAGCGUUGUUCGUAAUUACUGGGCGUAAAGCGCGCGUAGGCGGACUAGUCAGUCAGAGGUUAAAUCCCAGGGCUCAACCCUGGAACUGCCUUUGAUACUGCUAGUCUUGAGCUCGAGAGAGGUAAGUGGAAUUCCGAGUGUAGAGGUGAAAUUCGUAGAUAUUCGGAGGAACACCAGUGGCGAAGGCGACUUAAUGGCUCGAUAAUGAAGCUGAGGUGAGAAAGUGUGGGGGGCAAACAGGAUUAGAUC